Exaiptasia diaphana is the source of this 421-nucleotide long non-coding RNA. RefSeq lists it as uncharacterized. The transcript has 3 exons. The record is from RefSeq and is a predicted model, not a curated record. NCBI's taxonomy places the organism in Eukaryota, Metazoa, Cnidaria, Anthozoa, Actiniaria, Aiptasiidae.
UGCGCACUACCUCCCUCUCUUUUGACGCCAUUUUGGUUUUUGACGGUGAAGAAGAAGUACUGAAAUAAUGCCGUCUGUUAACGAAUUAAGAACACUUACAAAACAUUAUUCAAAGAUUGGACGAUUGUGGGUACCAACUUUGAGUGCUUGGGGAAUUCUUGGAGGUGCAACACUUCUUUACCUGACAGACUGGAAAGUUGUCAUGAAACAUGUCCCAUUUGUGGGAAGGAAAUAUGACCAUGAAAAGCCAAGAUAAUCAAAAUAAUAGGUGUUGCKYUGUACAAAAUUUAGGAAAUGUCAGAAGCCACCCAAACAUCAAGAAAAUUUAUUGGAGAAUUUGUUACRAUAUUCAUUCAUAUGAUAUUGUAAAAAUGUUUGGCAAAUUAAUACAAUUGGAUUAAAGUCGUUUACUUUUUAUUAA